GGCCUUUGCAACCCAGGCCAUUCUGUGAUUCUGUGAUUCUCUGAACUACAAAAAGUACUGAAUGUAUACUGGUUGAUAUGAGGUGAGGUGAGCUGUGAUGAGGUUGGGAGCACAACUCAGAACAGGAGAGAACCAUGUCACAAGUGCUGGUGUUCCAAACAGUCUGUGAUGGAAUAUCCAGAGCUGGGAGGGACGAGUAGGGCAUAGGAGGGACCACUGUGGGCUCCACACUCAGCAGCCCGAGUUUGGCACUGUGGGGGCUCCCAGUGUUCUCCUUUUUUUCUCCCUCCUGAAGGCUAUCAGAACUAGAAUGAAUUGGAAGUUUCGUGUGGAAGCUUUUUUUCUUCUUUUGUGAAAUGGAAUACAUUAGAAUUCAUUGCAGCUCCAUGCUUCAGAAGAAAGCUGGUUGUUUAGCUGUAGAAUCAGAAGAUCAUCUUCACGAUCUUCGGUUAUUUUCACACGUGCCAUUCUGCCAGGCGACAUGAUGUGAUAGAGACAGCAAGAUCCUAAGAAGAAAAGUACCAAGUGUGAGAAGCUCUGCCUUUAGCUUUACAAACAGCUGGACUGCAGGGUUGUGCGACCGGCUGGCUUCCUGCAGCUGCUGCUGGGCCCUGGACCAGCACCACAUCCUUGAACUGAAGGAAAAAGAAAAUACAUUCUUACUAAUGAUAACAGCUGGGAUCAAAGCCAAACAAGGGGCCGUAAUAGUAACAAGUACGCUGCUUCUGUUGGGCAGAAGUAAAUUACUGAUAUACUUAAGUUUUAGAGAUUUGGGAGGUUGAUUUUUUUUUAUAGUGAAUGAAUAAAGAUGAAAGGUUUUGAGA
Non-coding RNA from Phasianus colchicus (ring-necked pheasant), 824 nucleotides. The record is from RefSeq and is a predicted model, not a curated record. NCBI's taxonomy places the organism in Eukaryota, Metazoa, Chordata, Aves, Galliformes, Phasianidae.